This 92-nucleotide ribosomal RNA is filed under the name Xanthomonas citri pv. citri. Lineage: Bacteria; Pseudomonadati; Pseudomonadota; Gammaproteobacteria; Lysobacterales; Lysobacteraceae. The record is from RNAcentral.
ACCACCCGAUCCCAUCCCGAACUCGGAAGUGAAACGCAGCUGCGCCGAUGGUAGUGUGGCUCAAGCCAUGCGAGAGUGGGUCAUCGCCAGGG